GACGUAGGGUGCGAGCGUUAAUCGGAAUUACUGGGCGUAAAGCGUGCGCAGGCGGUGAUGUAAGACAGGUGUGAAAUCCCCGGGCUUAACCUGGGAACUGCAUUUGUGACUGCAUCGCUGGAGUGCGGCAGAGGGGGAUGGAAUUCCGCGUGUAGCAGUGAAAUGCGUAGAUAUGCGGAGGAACACCGAUGGCGAAGGCAAUCCCCUGGGCCUGCACUGACGCUCAUGCACGAAAGCGUGGGGAGCAAACAGG
RNAcentral lists this ribosomal RNA (253 nucleotides) under uncultured bacterium. RNAcentral describes it as "partial 16S ribosomal RNA". It matches the Rfam family "Bacterial small subunit ribosomal RNA", at positions 524 to 776 of the family's 1533-position model. The record is from RNAcentral.